UCCUCCAGGACAACCAGGACUGUGUAGAAAGAACCUGUCUCCAAAACCAAAAGUUGGGAUUAUUAUGAUUUAUCUGUUUUUUAACACAGUCAUUAUUUCUACUAAGACUAUGGGAAAAGUUGAGUUUGAUUAUUUUCUUAAGAUAGUGAGUAUGUAUAAGUACCACUUUUAUGCCUGGUAGUUGUUAAUGGUUUCAGAAAAGCUCAAAUUAACACAACUGUCCCUUCUACUAAACUUGGUGUGUAGAUGAAAAAACAUCUGUAUUUAAACAUGUGCCUGAACAGUAGAGAAAUUAUUUUUCAUUAUUUUAAGUUAUAUAGAAAGGUUCUAAAAAUGUUUUGAACUCCAGCUAAAUAUAGAAAUUUCCCAAGAUGGCCACAGUAAUUAUUCUACUAUUAAUUUUUAAGUACUAUAUUUCAGAAGCCCACUAAAUACCCUAAAAUAUAUAGGCAAACUAGGGAUUUGGGAUUGUGGUAGCUCACUUGGUAUUAUGCUUGUCAGCACACACCUAGUCCUGGGUUCAGUCCUUCACACAUAAACCAUACAUGGUGGCUCACACCUGUAAUCACAGCACUGGGUACAGGUAGGGCUCAGAAGUUCAGGAUCAUCCUUUGCUACAUAGUAAGUCUGAGACUGCUUGGGCUACAGACUGUCUUUACAUAGGCCAUUGAUUUGCCAGACUGAUACAGCACAUAGAACAUAGUCAGCAUAAACCAUAUCAUUUUGACUUUGAUGGCUGCAGAUCCUAGUUUUGCUACCUUAGCAGCAAAUACCUCCUUGAACAUGUGUAGACAUGAACCAGAGUUCACAGAAAUCUGCCCACUCCCCCAAGUUGUGGAAUCAGAGGUGUGUAUCAUCUUCCCACUUUGCAGACCUGUGCUCUUUGACUGAGAUACAACUCAUCACCAGGUGGGUGGUCCAUGCCCUUAGUUCUACCAUUUGAAACGUGCAGGCAGCACACCCACUCAGAUUUCCACAUUGACCUAUUACUUAACCAAUAGAUCGUCAUAAUAAAGAGCUGGUUUAUCCUGGGGUUCUGUUGUCAUUUUAGAAGUAUCAUCUACUAAUUAGCUUAUUCCCAAGCUGUAGUGGAUUUGAUUUUUUUAUGGUCACUUAUGAUCAUCUUCUAGAAGCUCUACAGAAGGUUCUUAAUAUGAGGUGGUUGUCUGCAGUAAUCCCUGAGCAGAGCUACAGUCAAGAGGUCUCCCUGCAUUGUAGACCUUAGAGGGCCUUAGCCUCUCUGUACUUCAGCUCCCGUCUCUACAGUGUAGGGGGAGCCUAGUACCCACUCCAUCAGUUACACACAGAGUACUUUGUAAGCUCCCCAUAAAGGUUUUACUCUGUUGUGGUUUUUCAGUUUGGAUACUUUGUUUCUCUUUCUACAGAAUGCAUCAGCAUCUCUGUACUGGACUAGUUUAUGGUCAAAUACCUUCAUUGUAAUUGGAGUUUUUCUGUUAAAUGUCUUAUGUGUAUGUCUGUGUGCACACAUGCAUGUGAAUGCAGAGUUCAGAAGAGGGUGCCCACGGUUCUGAGCCCUUACAUGGGUGCUCGGGAACUGAACUCUGGUCCCCUACAAGAGCAAUAAGCACUCUUAACUGCCGAGCCACCUUGCCACAGAUUCACUAGUCGCAUAUGGACAGACUAUUGCAAGGAGUUGUUUUUGUGCCUUCAGAGCUAUUUACUUUGAACAGAGGAAAAAAUUUAUAGUGUAUUAACAUGGCUUUUCACAAAAUUAACUUAUUAAGCUAUUUUUUAUUUUUUCUCCCUUCAAGUUAUAAUAUUGAAGAAUCAUGUUGGGUGUGUAGUAAAUGGUAAUUUAGGGUCAGUGAUUUUGUUAAUAACACAACUUUCUAGCAUUUCUCUGAAUUGCUCUAAUUUAGAUCACAAGGUUUACAUCUGGCACAAACGAAGUGAACUGCCGAUUGCGGAGCUGACAGGGCACACGCGCACAGUAAAUUGUGUUAGCUGGAACCCACAGAUGCCAUCUAUGAUGGCCAGUGCCUCAGAUGAUGGCACUGUGAGAAUAUGGGACCAGCACCUUUUAUAGACCACCAGAAUAUUGAAGAGGAAUGCAGUAGCAUGGAUAGUUGAUGGCGAAUUGGAGCAGACGACUUCUGUUUAACUUAAAAUUAGUCGUAUUUUAAUGGCUUGGAUUUGGUGCAAACAAACAUGAUUGAUAGCUGGACAGACAUGCUCGUCAUGAAAAAAGAAACCAUUUCUGAAGCCCGAUUGGGGCCAAACCUUUACACCUUGCUUCAUAGUAACCAGUUGAUGAAGCACGUCGUUAGAACGUUGUUGGACACCAUGUUGAAUAUUCCCCAUCGGUUGUGAAGAACUGUACUGCAUCCAGGCUUACCCAUUGAACUCAGUAUAUAUAUAUUUUUUCCCUCCUGCCUUUUGUCUGGUGGGAUACCAUACUUGUUGCUCUUCUGUGUAAUGAAGUUCAAAUGCUUGUUUGGAAACUUUAUUUAACAGUUUAGAAGGCGUGAUAGGAAGAGUUCCUUAGUCUGAAGAGUAUACAUUGGACAGGAAAGAAUUUUCCUUUUGUUUCUCCAAAUCUUUCCGCCUUAUUUAGCUUGAGAUCUUUGCAGCUUGGUUCAUGGAUCCUAGCCUUGCCCGUUGCGCAGUAUAUACUGAUCAGAUGACAAACCAGUGAACUAUGUCAAAAGCACUCUCAAUAUUACAUUUGACAAAAAGUUUUGUACUUUUCACAUAGCUUGUUGCCCCGUAAAGGGUUAACAGCACAAUUUUUUAAAAAUAAAUUAAGAAGUAUUUAUAGGAUUAAAGUGACUUCAUUUGUAUACAUUUGGAAUCUAAACCAGCUUAAAAAACAGUUUCCUCUGUGACUCAGAUAUGCAGUGUAACUGAUGCUCUUCUGGGGUACCACCUGAGACAUGGCAUGGUCAGAAACAGUGCUCAGAAGGACAUGGCACAGGAAAGCCAGAGAGAUACUCUGAAGUUCCCCCUUCUUAUUUUAUUCCCGAAGGGACAUCAGUAUCGAUGUUGAAGAAAUUCAAGAUUCAAAAGGAGAAUUUUAUAAAUACACCAACAUGAAAAAUCAGCUCUCAAUCUAGGUUUUCACAAAAGCUUGUUCCAAGUUCUUCUGGACUUGGUGUGAUCUAGUAAAGUAGAGAUCAGAAGAUAGACCCACUUGGGGAAUUUAUAGUGUCGUUGAGACUUAGAAUUCAGCAGGUUACAAACAUACGUCAACUGGGAUUCAAACCUCAGUCAUUUCUCCUAAUUGCCCUUAAUGCCCAACAUAUAGGGACACUGGAAUUUAACAAAGAUUCCUUCUCAACUUCUCAGAUGUUGCCAUACUGAACCUCAUUCAAACUGGUGCUGUGGAUAGUCUUUCCCUCUCCUCCCCCUUUUAGUUUAUGGGAUGGUUUCCUUUAUGGAAAAAGGCUCUCAUUUUGAAGACUCUACAUCUAAUGUCUGAUGUUCACGGUGUUUUUAAACCCCACAGCUGCUGGGUCUAACAGUCUCUCUUGAAAUUCCCUGUUUUUCAGUAGAGGAUGAUCAGGGUGACCACAGCUAUUGGAAAGAGAAGUGGAAUUACUCCCAAAGUAAGAUCCUGGGGAAGAAAAAAAAUCUGGUAUCAAGUUGCCCUUGAGGCCAAGCCACAUCCCCAGCAUGCUCACCACGAUCAAUCACACCCCUCAUGGCUCCGAGAGAGGAGCGAGGCCUGGAGUGUAGGGCGCAGAAGGAGGGAUAGCAGCAGGGAGGGGAAGCCAGGAGAAGGAAGAAAAAGAAGACACAUUUGGCCUUAAAGUAGAGUUCAUUCUCCCAAAGCUCCUAGUGAGGAAAUGAGAGGUUGUAGUCAGCAAUGAUUUUAUCAAAUUGGUGUGUAAAAAGAUUACAUCAAGCUUCAUUUUGCAGAGACCACCACUUUAGAAAACCAGAGAAAUCCUGUUUUGAUACUUCUAAGUUAAAAUAAUAUGUUACCGUUUAUCUGGUACUUCAUUUCUUUACUAAAUUACUUUUCACUUUAAGCUUGAAUAAAAAUUUUCAUUUGUAACUGUA
Molecule: long non-coding RNA, 4023 nt
Organism: Peromyscus leucopus (white-footed mouse)
Lineage: Eukaryota; Metazoa; Chordata; Mammalia; Rodentia; Cricetidae
Exons: 2
Source: RefSeq, a predicted model, not a curated record